AGCAGCCGCGGUAAUUCCAGCUCCAAUAGCGUAUAUUAAAGUUGUUGCAGUUAAAAAGCUCGUAGUUGAAUUUCGGGGUUAGUAGGUUGGUCAUGCCUCUGGUAUGUACUGGUCUCACUGAUUCCUCCUUCCUGAUGAGCCGUAAUGCCAUUAAUUUGGUGUUGCGGGGAAUUUGGACUGUUACUUUGAAAAAAUUAGAGUGUUUAAAGCAAGCUAACGCUUGAAUACAUUAGCAUGGAAUAAUGAAAUAGGACGUUCGAUCCUAUUUUGUUGGUUUCUAGGAUUGACGUAAUGAUUAAUAGGGAUAGUUGGGGGCAUUAGUAUUCAAUUGUCAGAGGUGAAAUUCUUGGAUUUAUUGAAGACUAACUACUGCGAAAGCAUUUGCCAAGGAUGUUUUCAUUAAUCAAGAACGAAAGUUAGGGGAUCGAAGACGAUCAGAUACCGUCGUAGUCUUAACCAUAAACUAUGCCGACUAGGGAUCGGAUGAUGUUAAUUUUUAUGACUCAUUCGGCGCUUUAAC
This 520-nucleotide ribosomal RNA is filed under the name uncultured Glomus. Its description in RNAcentral is "SSU rRNA". It matches the Rfam family "Eukaryotic small subunit ribosomal RNA", at positions 569 to 1092 of the family's 1831-position model. Lineage: Eukaryota; Fungi; Glomeromycota; Glomeromycetes; Glomerales; Glomeraceae. The record is from RNAcentral.